This 587-nucleotide ribosomal RNA is filed under the name Saccharomyces cerevisiae (brewer's yeast). Its description in RNAcentral is "eukaryotic LSU rRNA". It matches the Rfam family "Eukaryotic large subunit ribosomal RNA", at positions 67 to 668 of the family's 3401-position model. Lineage: Eukaryota; Fungi; Ascomycota; Saccharomycetes; Saccharomycetales; Saccharomycetaceae. The record is from RNAcentral.
CACGGGGAAUGCCUUAGUACGGCGAGUGAAGCGGCAAAAGCUCAAAUUUGAAAUCUGGUACCUUCGGUGCCCGAGUUGUAAUUUGGAGAGGGCAACUUUGGGGCCGUUCCUUGUCUAUGUUCCUUGGAACAGGACGUCAUAGAGGGUGAGAAUCCCGUGUGGCGAGGAGUUGCGGUUCUUUGUAAAGUGCCUUCGAAGAGUCGAGUUGUUUGGGAAUGCAGCUCUAAGUGGGUGGUAAAUUCCAUCUAAAGCUAAAUAUUGGCGAGAGACCGAUAGCGAACAAGUACAGUGAUGGAAAGAUGAAAAGAACUUUGAAAAGAGAGUGAAAAAGUACGUGAAAUUGUUGAAAGGGAAGGGCAUUUGAUCAGACAUGGUGUUUUGUGCCCUCUGCUCCUUGUGGGUAGGGGAAUCUCGCAUUUCACUGGGCCAGCAUCAGUUUUGGUGGCAGGAUAAAUCCAUAGGAAUGUAGCUUGCCUCGGUAAGUAUUAUAGCCUGUGGGAAUACUGCCAGCUGGGACUGAGGACUGCGACGUAAGUCAAGGAUGCUGGCAUAAUGGUUAUAUGCCGCCCGUCUUGAAACACGGACCA